GCCCCGUAUUUAGGGGCUUAUCAACGGAUAGAACGAGCGCCUCCUAAGCGCUAGAUACAGGUUCGAUUCCUGUCGGAGGCA
Molecule: transfer RNA, 81 nt
Filed under: Burkholderiaceae bacterium
Lineage: Bacteria; Pseudomonadati; Pseudomonadota; Betaproteobacteria; Burkholderiales; Burkholderiaceae
Description: tRNA-Arg
Rfam family: tRNA
About the family: Transfer RNA (tRNA) molecules are approximately 80 nucleotides in length. Their secondary structure includes four short double-helical elements and three loops (D, anti-codon, and T loops). Further hydrogen bonds mediate the characteristic L-shaped molecular structure. tRNAs have two regions of fundamental functional importance: the anti-codon, which is responsible for specific mRNA codon recognition, and the 3' end, to which the tRNAs corresponding amino acid is attached (by aminoacyl-tRNA synthetases). tRNAs cope with the degeneracy of the genetic code in two manners: having more than one tRNA (with a specific anti-codon) for a particular amino acid; and 'wobble' base-pairing, i.e. permitting non-standard base-pairing at the 3rd anti-codon position.
Source: RNAcentral